AAGAAAUUAGUUAAAUUAUAACAUUAAAAUGUCAUUUUAAAAUUAUUAUAAUAAAUAAUAUUUCUUA
Molecule: transfer RNA, 67 nt
Filed under: Pseudognaptodon sp. QL-2014
Lineage: Eukaryota; Metazoa; Arthropoda; Insecta; Hymenoptera; Braconidae
Description: tRNA-Asp
Source: RNAcentral